Molecule: ribosomal RNA, 342 nt
Filed under: uncultured bacterium
Lineage: Bacteria
Description: bacterial SSU rRNA
Rfam family: Bacterial small subunit ribosomal RNA
Source: RNAcentral
GAAUUCGAUUCAGGCCUAACACAUGCAAGUCGUACGAGAGUUUUUAACUCUAGUGGCGGACGGGUGAGUAACACGUGAGAAUUUGCCUUUAGGAGGGGGAUAACAAUUGGAAACAAAUGCUAAUACCCCAUAUGCUUUUGAGUGAAAUGGAUUUAUCCGCCUAGAGAGAAGCUCGCGGCUGAUUAGCUUGUUGGUAAGGUAAGAGCUUACCAAGGCGACGAUCAGUAUCUGGUUUGAGAGGAGGAUCAGACACACUGGAACUGAGACACGGUCCAGACUCCUACGGGAGGCAGCAGUGGGGAAUUUUCCGCUAUAGAGGAGAGCCUGACGGAGCAAUACCGC